AGUGAACGCUGGCGGUGGGCCUAACACAUGCAAGUCGAACGGCAGCACAGUAAGAGCUUGCUCUUACGGGUGGCGAGUGGCGGACGGGUGAGGGAUACAUCGGAAUCUACUUUUUCGUGGGGGAUAACGUAGGGAAACUUACGCUAAUACCGCAUACGACCUACGGGUGAAAGCAGGGAUCUUCGGACCUUGCGCGAUUGAAUGAGCCGAUGUCGGAUUAGCUAGUUGGCGGGGUAAAGGCCCACCAAGGCGACGAUCCGUAGCUGGUCUGAGAGGAUGAUCAGCCACACUGGAACUGAGACACGGUCCAGACUCCUACGGGAGGCAGCAGUGGGGAAUAUUGGACAAUGGGCGCAAGCCUGAUCCAGCCAUACCGCGUGGGUGAAGAAGGCCUUCGGGUUGUAAAGCCCUUUUGUUGGGAAAGAAAAGCAGCAGGUUAAUACCCCGCUGUUCUGACGGUACCCAAAGAAUAAGCACCGGCUAACUUCGUG
Molecule: ribosomal RNA, 491 nt
Filed under: uncultured bacterium
Lineage: Bacteria
Description: partial 16S ribosomal RNA
Rfam family: Bacterial small subunit ribosomal RNA
Source: RNAcentral